Molecule: long non-coding RNA, 624 nt
Filed under: Anas platyrhynchos platyrhynchos (common mallard)
Lineage: Eukaryota; Metazoa; Chordata; Aves; Anseriformes; Anatidae
Description: lncRNA (ENSAPLG00000020402.1)
Source: RNAcentral
GCAAGAAUUGUCAUGCUUCAUGACACAAGAUGAUGUCCUGAAAGGAGGGAAAAGGAAACAUCCUCACAGCAGUGUGCUGGUGACAGACUGCUUCCUUCUGCUAUUUGUACUGCCUGUGGAUAAUGUGUUCACUGUGAAGGCUGACACGAUUUGCAUACUGUUAAGAAGAAAACUCCACUCAAAACAGAAGGCAGUGCCAGAGCAGAGACUUGGGCUGGUCCUGUCCAAUCCCACAUUCCUGUUGGAACUGAGCUCCAUGGCCAGGGGAACUGGGAAGAGGCAGAACCUCACAACAGGAGCUGUGCAGUGAAGAUGAUCUCACCACAACCAUAUCAAGGAGGAAGAGUUGACAAAGUAGCUGAUAGGACGGGAAAUGUUUCCACUUGUGAACCAUGAGGACAGUAAAAUGAACUCUUAGCUUGAAACUUGAAGACAUAAAAAAAGGUAUUUGGUUCAAAUACAGUUCAAAGGACUAAGAGUUCCCAUAUACUUCUGGAGUAUUCAUCUUUCUAGUGCAAGGAGUGCAAUUUAACUACACUCAGAGUCCUAAAUGUUGUGCUUAAAGUUACAACCAAAGGAAACUCUACAGUUAAUAAAAUCAAAAUACAGAGAGUGGGCUGGUCA